This 468-nucleotide ribosomal RNA is filed under the name uncultured bacterium. RNAcentral describes it as "partial 16S ribosomal RNA". It matches the Rfam family "Bacterial small subunit ribosomal RNA", at positions 28 to 507 of the family's 1533-position model. The record is from RNAcentral.
GACGAACGCUGGCGGCGUGCUUAACACAUGCAAGUCGAACGGAAAGGCCCUGCUUUUGUGGGGUGCUCGAGUGGCGAACGGGUGAGUAACACGUGAGUAACCUGCCCUUGACUUUGGGAUAACUUCAGGAAACUGGGGCUAAUACAGGAUAGGAGCUCCUGCUGCAUGGUGGGGGUUGGAAAGUUUCGGCGGUUGGGGAUGGACUCGCGGCUUAUCAGCUUGUUGGUGGGGUAGUGGCUUACCAAGGCUUUGACGGGUAGCCGGCCUGAGAGGGUGACCGGCCACAUUGGGACUGAGAUACGGCCCAGACUCCUACGGGAGGCAGCAGUGGCGAAUAUUGCACAAUGGGCGGAAGCCUGAUGCAGCAACGCCGCGUGCGGGAUGACGGCCUUCGGGUUGUAAACCGCUUUCGCCUGUGACGAAGCGUGAGUGACGGUAAUGAGUAAAGAAGCACCGGCUAACUACGUG